CCUACGGGUGGCAGCAGUGGAGAAUAUUGCACAAUGGGGGAAACCCUGAUGCUGCGACGCCGCGUGAGUGAAGGAGUAAUUCGUUAUGUAAAGCUCUAGCAGCAGGGAAGAAAAUGACGGUACCUGAGUAAGAAGCGCCGGCUAACUACGUGCCAGCGGCCGCGGUAAUACGUAGGGGGCAAGCGUUAGCCGGGUUUACUGUGUGUAAAGGGAGCGUAGACGGGAGUGCAAGUCUGGAGUGAAAGGCGGGGGCUCAACCCCCGGACUGCUCUGGAAACUGUACGGCUGGAGUGAAGGAGAGGGAAGUGGAAUUCUUGGUGUAGCAGUGAAAUGCGUAGAUAUUAGGAGGAACACCAGUGGCGAAGGCGGCUUACUGGACUGUAACUGACGUUGAGGCUCGAAGGCGUGGGGAGCAAACAGGAUUAGAUACCCGGGUAGUC
Molecule: ribosomal RNA, 440 nt
Filed under: uncultured bacterium
Lineage: Bacteria
Description: partial 16S ribosomal RNA
Rfam family: Bacterial small subunit ribosomal RNA
Source: RNAcentral